RNAcentral lists this ribosomal RNA (483 nucleotides) under uncultured bacterium. RNAcentral's name for it is "partial 16S ribosomal RNA". It matches the Rfam family "Bacterial small subunit ribosomal RNA", at positions 30 to 506 of the family's 1533-position model. The record is from RNAcentral.
AUUGAACGCUGGCGGCAGGCCUAACACAUGCAAGUCGAGCGGAUGAAGGGAGCUUGCUCCUGGAUUCAGCGGCGGACGGGUGAGUAAUGCCUAGGAAUCUGCCUGGUAGUGGGGGAUAACGUCCGGAAACGGGCGCUAAUACCGCAUACGUCCUGAGGGAGAAAGUGGGGGAUCUUCGGACCUCACGCUAUCAGAUGAGCCUAGGUCGGAUUAGCUAGUUGGUGGGGUAAAGGCCUACCAAGGCGACGACCCGUAACUGGUCUGAGAGGAUGAUCAGUCACACUGGAACUGAGACACGGUCCAGACUCCUACGGGAGGCAGCAGUGGGGAAUAUUGGACAAGGGGCGAAAGCCUGAUCCAGCCAGGCCGCGUGUGUGAAGAAGGUCUUCGGAUUGUAAAGCACUUUAAGUUGGGAGGAAGGGCAGUAAGUUAAUACCUUGCUGUUUUGACGUUACCAACAGAAUAAGCACCGGCUAACUUCGU